Long non-coding RNA from Eriocheir sinensis (Chinese mitten crab), 6071 nucleotides. RefSeq lists it as uncharacterized. The record is from RefSeq and is a predicted model, not a curated record. NCBI's taxonomy places the organism in Eukaryota, Metazoa, Arthropoda, Malacostraca, Decapoda, Varunidae. The transcript is spliced from 5 exons.
ACACACACACACACACACACACACACACACACAUGGUCACCAAGGGACGUCUGUGUUUCCCCAGUUGUUGUUGUUGGUAUUCAAGGCCAAUAGUAUGGUGGUUGUGGCGGGUGUGGCGUGGUGGUCUUAGACAUGUAUGACCUGAAGGGGAGGGGAAUCUUGGGCAUGACUUGAGGUCGAAACUAUUCCCACUUCUGUCUUCUAAACUUCUAAAGGCAGCCCCCCCCCCCCUCUCCCCUCUCCUGCUGCUGCUGUUCUCGGUAGUGGAGGCUUCAUGCGAGGCUCAUCAACAGCAGCAAGCAGUGUGUGUGUGUGUGUGUGUGAAGGGGCGCUGCAAGUGAGGCCUCUGAUAGUGUCGGCGCGAAUUAUGAAACUGCUUCUCGUUAUUGGCGCGUGUGAGUGUGCGAAGUGACGUGGAGGCAAGCAGGGAGACAGGCAGGCAGGGAAGCAAGCACGGAAAAAAAAACAUGUCUUACUGAGGUGGAAAGAUGACGAGGUAGGUAAAAGGAGAUGGAAGGGUAAUGAAGGCGAGGAGUGGCGAGGGAGUAGACCAAGAGGGAAGGACGAAAGGUUACGGGUUGCGGUAAAGGAGGGUGAAACGUGAUAAUGGAUGCAAGGGAAAGGAAAGAGGAGACGUGUGGAGGGAGAGAGAAGGAGGACAAGGAAACAUGUAACACUGGAGGCAGGCAGAGUAGGGCGGAUAAAACGAGAGGGGGGCGGGAAAAUGGAAACGUAGGAGGGAGAUAAGGGAGAAGAAUGAGAGAGAAGGGAGGGUAAGAUAACUGAAAAUAGGAAUAUAUAUGAAGACUGAGCGAAGGGUAGAGGGAUGGGGACAAGGAAAGCAAGGGAAAAAUGUAUAUAGCUUAGGAGUUUGAGAACGGGAAGAGGGAAGGGGACAAGGAAAGCAAGGGAAAGGAAAUAUGUUGGUAGCUAAAGUGUUUGAGAAAGGGAAGAAAGAAAGAGUCAAAGAAAGGAAGGGAAAAGAAUGAUGUAGGUAGCUUUUAAGUGUUUGAGAAAGGGAAGAAAGGAAGGGACAAGAAUGAUGUAGGUAGCUUUUAAGUGUUUGAGAAAGGGAAGAAAGGAAGGGACAAGAAUGAUGUAGGUAGCUUUUAAGUGUUUGAGAAAGGGAAGAAAGGAAGGGACAAGAAUGAUGUAGGUAGCUUUUAAGUGUUUGAGAAAGGGAAGAAAGGAAGGGACAAGAAUGAUGUAGGUAGCUUUUAAGUGUUUGAGAAAGGGAAGAAAGGAAGGGACAAGAAUGAUGUAGGUAGCUUUUAAGUGUUUGAGAAAGGGAAGAAAUGAAGGGAAAAGAAUGAUGUAGGUAGCUUUUAAGUGUUUGAGAAAGGGAAGAAAGGAAGGGAAAAGAAUGAUGUAGGUAGCUUUUAAGUGUUUGAGGAAGUGAAGAAAGAAAGCGACAAAGGAAGGAAGGGAAAGAUGUAUGUAGGAAAGUAAAGGGAAGGGAAGAUAAAUGUGUAGAUGGUAACAAAAAAAAAAAAAAUAGGGAAUAGAUACGAAGGGGAGAAGAGGAGAGGGGACAAAGAAAGUAAGGGAAAGAAAUGGUGCAGGUGGCGGAGUUAAGGGAAGGGAAGAAAACGUGUAGAAUGAUAACAAAAACAACAACGAAAAAAAAACCGGGAAUACAUAUGGAGGGAGAGAGGAGGAGGAGGUAUCGAGAAGGGAGGAACGAUAGGGGAAGGCGAGGUAUACAUGUGUCUCGAAGGGUUGAUACGCGACAUAUUAUCAGUCAACAGGGCCCCCUAUCUCACCUGUGACCUUGUGUAUAUACCUGGGCGGCGGCCUUGGGAAUAGCCGCCGUCUCACCCUUUGCCUCACCCCCACCCUCCUUUCUUCCUCCCUCGUAAACCCCCCCACCCCCCCUUCCUCCCUCAUCCCGCCCUUACUCCGUCCGCCCCUCUCAUUCAUCAUUAUCGCUGCCCACGUAACUUUUCUUAUCCCGCAUCUCUCUCUCUCUGCCGUCGUUCCCUUCAUUCGCUUCCUGUUUGUGUGGUUUUGUCAUUGUCUGCGUCUUCGUUUCGGUCCGUUUGUCGUUCCGCCUUUUCCCUCCACCUCUUCCGCCAUCGCCAUCACCUCCUCACCCUCAUCGUCGUCCUUCGUAGGUCCACCCGUCUCGUCUGUGUUGGUGGCGGGUCGAGGAGAAGGUAGACGGGUUAUUGCUGAUGUGUAGAGGGCGAGGGAGGGGGGAGGAUAUGAUGAGGAAAGGAGAAUAGAAAGAAUGGAGUGGGAGAAGGUAGACGGGUUGUUGCUGAUGUGUAGAGGGCGAGGGAGGGGGAAGGAUAUGAUGAGGAAAGGAGAGUAGAAAGAAUGGAGUGGGAGAAGGUAGACGGGUUGUUGCUGAUGUGUAGAGGGCGAGGGAGGGGGAAGGAUAUGAUGAGGAAAGGAGAGUAGAAAGAAUGGAGUGGGAGAAGGUAGACGGGUUGUUGCUGAUGUAUAGAGGGCGAUGGAGGGGGAGGAUAUGAUGAGGAAAGUACUAGAAAGAAUGAAGGGAAUGGCGUCGUGGCUGGUGCUGCCGGCGAGGAAAGGUAAGACGGAGAGAUGCUGCUGAUAACGGACGAGACGGAGGAGGAAGAGGAAGAGGAGAGGGAGGCGAAGAUGAGUGGUGGAGAUGACCCCAGGGCGACAUUGCUGGGACGGUGACCAGUGGAUGGGGGGGACUGGGGUCGGGGUUAGGGUACAGGAGGGAGGCGUCCGUCUGUGUUACUCGCUUACAUGGGAUGGCUGGAGUGUGUGUGUGUGUGUGUGUGUGUGUGUGUGUGUGAUUCAUGGGUGUGUUUUGGGGUGACAAGUGGUGUUGCCGUGUUACGAAAAAAAAAUGGUUGUAGUGGAGGACGAGUUGGAUGCGUGUGGAGUGGUUGUGGUGGUGGUGAUGGUGGUGACGUGGUGGUGGUGAUGGUGGUGCACGUGGUCUUGUUACGGUAUUGGUGGUGGUGGUGGUGAUGGUGGUGGAUAAGUGGACGCCGUAUAAUUAUUAACAGCAUAUUAGUGAUGAUUUUAACUAAAUAUCCUUGAUGGUGUGGGUAUUAUGGCGACGCUGGGUAGUAGAGGGGAGAGGUGGGGCGGUGAGGGCGGGAGGAAGGGAGGGUCUGCCGUCUGCCGUGUUAUAUCUUGCACAAGGAAGAGGAAGGGAGACAGGUCUGAGCCGCACUCCCUCCUUCCUUCCCUCCAGCCCGCCACCUCACCACCCUCGCCCUCUCCUCCUGGAACCGGCCUCGGGGACUGCCUCGGAGACUCUUGAUGCAAACGAUUCCAGUGAAGUUAUAAAUGAGUGGCGUUCAUUAAGAGGUAAUGAGCACCAGCCUCCACCAGUCUGCCACCAGCGUUACCAAGUUAUCGUACUCAGCCACUCAGCAUAUCGUAUUUUCCGGUUUCUGACUCACAACCAUCGCAAACAAACACCAGUAUGUAACGCUUUUAACGAUAACUUUAACUGGAAUCUCGUUAUUUGUCUGGGUACGAGAGUUUCGGGCCCUGGAACUGAUAAUUGCGAUGUUCCGAGUACGAUAAUAUGGUAACACUGUCUGACGCCCCUCCGCCCCCGUCUGCCCUCUCCCUCACACCUCACCCGUUCACCCGUAACUGAUUUGGAGGGUGGGAGGCUCUCGGGUUCCUCCAUAUACUCUGUCUUUCCUUCCUCCUCUACUUUCCAUCUUUCCCUCAGUCUGCCACACUUUCCGGCCUGUCUGACGCCCUUUCACCCCCGUCUGCCAUCUCCUUCACCCUUUCACCCACUGCUUGGGGGGGGGGGGGUCUCACUAGUUCCUCCACACAAUCUUUCCUUCCUCCUCCACUUUUCAUUUUUCCUCAGUCAGUCACCCUUCGCCACCUGUCUGCCCGCUCCCUCACACUUCACCCGCUCACCCGUCACUGAUUGGGGCGCCUCGAGAGUUCCUCCACACAUUUAUCCUUCCUUCCUCAUCCCUUCAUCUUCCUUCAGUCUGCCCGCUCCCUCACACCUCACCAAUCACCCGUCACUGCCUGGGGUGCCUCUCGAGCUUCUCAAUCCACUUUCUUUCAUUUCUUCUCUCCUUUCUCUCCUUCCUCCUCAACUUUUCAUCCUUCCUUAGUCUGGCACCCAUUCCCCUUGUCUGCCCUUUCCCUCACGCCUCACCCGCUCACCCGUUCACUGCUUGGGGUGUUUCACGAGCUUCUCAGUCCACUUUCCUUCCUCCUUUACUUUUCAUCCUCCCUUCUUGUGGAUUCUCUGCAGACCGUCACUCUUGGGCAAGACACACAGCACAUGCGUCCUUGGGAGAGACGAAGGACCAUGACUUUGAUAGCAUCCGACACACACACACACACACACACACACACACACACCAGUUUUUAAUAACUUCCUAACUUCAUCUGCAACAAGACCACAUUUCACCCAAUCAUUUCCCUGCGCACGCCCUCCCAGCCCCUCCGUGCUUUGUGCCACCUCUGCAUUUUUCCUCCACGAUGGGGUGUGCCCUUAUUUCCAUUCUGCAAGUGCUCGCCUCGUCUCGGUGGCCGGGCUCUGGAAGUAAGUGGGCGGAGCUCCGGGCCGGGCCGUCUGACGUAAGAAUAUACAAAGCCUUGGAAUGUGUGAGGCGGCGUGACGGGCUGACGUAAUGCUGUUGGCUGAAGGGGAGAGAGAGAGAGAGAGAGAGGAGGAUGGAGGUGGUGUAGCAGGAUGAUACGGGGAGUGGAGAGGAAGGCUGAUGGAGAGGUCUGUGAAGGGGGCGGGGCGGGGUUUAAUAGAUAGGCCGCACUGUGAAUGUGAAUCAGGCGAGACGGGCGACUUAUGAAUGCCUUAAUCGCCUGAAUGCCAUCGCCCUAUUGAACCAAGAACCUGAAAUGUGGUGAAUGGAGUCUGCAGAGGGUAAUGAGCUUGGUGGGGGUGGAGUGGCUGUAAGAGGAGGAGGAGGAGGAGGGGGGGGAAGGGAUUGAGAGAUGAACUCCUUUUCAUUUCCACGCUCCUUCGUCAUGUCAAGUCACAGCAGGAUAUUAUAAAGCGUUUUUUUUAUUUUUUUAUUUACAAGGAAUAUCGUCGUUCUUGUGUGUGCAGGGCAAGUCGUGGUGUGUGGAGCAGCGUUGCCAGAUCAUCAUACUCAGAACAUUUUAUUUAUCAGUUUCAGACCCCAAAACUUUCGUACCCACACAAGCAACGAUAUACGAUUAACCUGGUAGCAGCUGGGAUCAUGUUUCUUAAUGGUCCCUCUAAGCUAGAAAAAUGAGAAAAAAUCACUCCUCACACAAACCAUUUCAUAAUAUAUAUCAAUGCAUUUGUGAACAGUUUAUAUAUCAUCAUAUCAUAACACAAAUUUGGCCCGUCGCUGCUACACGGUUAAGGUUAUUGUGAAACCCGUUACUUUUUUUUCAAUAGUUUUGGGUAAGAAACAUUGCAUUGAUCAGUUUUAGGCCUCAAACUGUCUUAUACCCACAAAAACAACGAUAUUCAAGAAAGUUAUCGUUAAAACCGUUAAUUAUUGUUCUUGUUGAUUUUUGCAAUAGCCGAGUAAGAAACCAGAAAGUUCAGUAUCAUAGGUACGAUAAUUAGGUAGCAAUUCUUUGGGAGCUUCUUUUUUUUUCAUUUUUUGUCCUUGAGCUCUUACCUUUACUGUGGGAUAAAAAAGAGUUGGUGUGAGGCGCCCAUCAGAGCCACGCAUCAUCGGCCGCAGCCUUGCGACCUCCGACGUGACGCGCAUCCGUGAGGGGAGGCCAGGGAGGGGUUGUCUCGGUGGGAGGAGCCGGGGAGGGUGAGACACUGGGAGGCAAGCGUCAGUGUGUAUGAGGAAGGGGGGCAGUGAUGGGGAUCAGUGGGUCAGGAUGGGUAUACCUGCAGUAGGCGGUGGGUCAGGGGCAGUGGGUCAGGAGGGAAGGGUGGGGGUAGGUACAUGCUGGGCACUGCAGGGAGGGGGUGACCUUGACCCAGUGGUGACGAGUAGCGGCGGCCAGUCUCCACCACCGCUUCCGCCGCCGCUUCCCGCAGAUACUGGUGACUGACCCCCGGCUUCCCCCACCUCGUCCCCGCCCCCCCUUGUGGUGCCGAUGAGUAGCGGGAUGCUGCUGCUGCCGCCUGACCCACACACACACAC